RNAcentral lists this ribosomal RNA (509 nucleotides) under Shigella sonnei. RNAcentral's name for it is "bacterial SSU rRNA". It matches the Rfam family "Bacterial small subunit ribosomal RNA", at positions 1 to 499 of the family's 1533-position model. The record is from RNAcentral. Lineage: Bacteria; Pseudomonadati; Pseudomonadota; Gammaproteobacteria; Enterobacterales; Enterobacteriaceae.
AAAUUGAAGAGUUUGAUCAUGGCUCAGAUUGAACGCUGGCGGCAGGCCUAACACAUGCAAGUCGAACGGUAACAGGAAACAGCUUGCUGUUUCGCUGACGAGUGGCGGACGGGUGAGUAAUGUCUGGGAAACUGCCUGAUGGAGGGGGAUAACUACUGGAAACGGUAGCUAAUACCGCAUAAUGUCGCAAGACUAAAGAGGGGGACCUUCGGGCCUCUUGCCAUCGGAUGUGCCCAGAUGGGAUUAGCUAGUAGGUGGGGUAACGGCUCACCUAGGCGACGAUCCCUAGCUGGUCUGAGAGGAUGACCAGCCACACUGGAACUGAGACACGGUCCAGACUCCUACGGGAGGCAGCAGUGGGGAAUAUUGCACAAUGGGCGCAAGCCUGAUGCAGCCAUGCCGCGUGUAUGAAGAAGGCCUUCGGGUUGUAAAGUACUUUCAGCGGGGAGGAAGGGAGUAAAGUUAAUACCUUUACUCAUUGACGUUACCCGCAGAAGAAGCACCGGCUA